GAAACAUCUAAGUAGCUGCAGGAAGAGAAAGCAAAAGCGAUUGCCUUAGUAGCGGCGAGCGAAACGGCAGGAGGGCAAACCGAAGAGUUUACUCUUCGGGGUUGUAGGACUGCAAUGUGGACUCAAAGAUUAUAGAAGAAUGAUUUGGGAAGAUCAGCCAAAGAGAGUAAUAGCCUCGUAUUUAAAAUAGUCUUUGUACCUAGCAGUAUCCUGAGUACGG
RNAcentral lists this ribosomal RNA (220 nucleotides) under Ditylum brightwellii. RNAcentral describes it as "partial Bacterial large subunit ribosomal RNA". It matches the Rfam family "Bacterial large subunit ribosomal RNA", at positions 195 to 417 of the family's 2925-position model. Lineage: Eukaryota; Bacillariophyta; Thalassiosirophyceae; Lithodesmiales; Lithodesmiaceae. The record is from RNAcentral.